CAGCAGCCGCGGUAAUACGUAGGGGGCGAGCGUUGUCCGGAAUUACUGGGCGUAAAGGGUGCGUAGGCGGCCAAAUAAGUCAGCUGUGAAAUACCGGGGCUUAACCCCGGGGGUGCAGUUGAAACUGUAUGGCUUGAGUGCAGGAGAGGAAAGCGGAAUUCCUAGUGUAGCGGUGAAAUGCGUAGAGAUUAGGAGGAACACCUGUGGCGAAGGCGGCUUUCUGGACUGUAACUGACGCUGAGGCACGAAAGCGUGGGUAGCGAACAGGAUUAGAUACCCUGGUAGUCCACGCCGUAAACGAUGGAUACUAGGUGUAGGGGGUAUCGACCCCUUCUGUGCCGUAGUUAACGCAAUAAGUAUCCCGCCUGGGGAGUACGUGCACAAGCAUGAAACUCAAAGGAAUUGACGGGGACCCGCACAAGCAGCGGAGCAUGUGGUUUAAUUCGAAGCAACGCGAAGAACCUUACCAGGUCUUGACAUCCCGGUGACCGGUAUAGAGAUAUACCUUUCCUUCGGGACACUGGAGACAGGAGGUGCAUGGCC
This 543-nucleotide ribosomal RNA is filed under the name uncultured archaeon. Its description in RNAcentral is "bacterial SSU rRNA". It matches the Rfam family "Bacterial small subunit ribosomal RNA", at positions 509 to 1050 of the family's 1533-position model. The record is from RNAcentral.